CCUACGGGGGGCUGCAGUGGGGAAUAUUGCACAAUGGGCGCAAGCCUGAUGCAGCCAUGCCGCGUGUGUGAAGAAGGCCUUCGGGUUGUAAAGCACUUUCAGCGGGGAGGAAGGCGGUGAGGUUAAUAACCUCAUCGAUUGACGUUACCCGCAGAAGAAGCACCGGCUAACUCCGUGCCAGCAGCCGCGGUAAUACGGAGGGUGCAAGCGUUAAUCGGAAUUACUGGGCGUAAAGCGCACGCAGGCGGUCUGUCAAGUCGGAUGUGAAAUCCCCGGGCUCAACCUGGGAACUGCAUUCGAAACUGGCAGGCUAGAGUCUUGUAGAGGGGGGUAGAAUUCCAGGUGUAGCGGUGAAAUGCGUAGAGAGCUGGAGGAAUACCGGUGGCGAAGGCGGCCCCCUGGACAAAGACUGACGCUCAGGUGCGAAAGCGUGGGGAGCAAACAGGAUUAGAUACCCUUGUAGUC
This 465-nucleotide ribosomal RNA is filed under the name uncultured Klebsiella sp. RNAcentral describes it as "bacterial SSU rRNA". It matches the Rfam family "Bacterial small subunit ribosomal RNA", at positions 338 to 795 of the family's 1533-position model. The record is from RNAcentral. Lineage: Bacteria; Pseudomonadati; Pseudomonadota; Gammaproteobacteria; Enterobacterales; Enterobacteriaceae.